AGCCUUGAGGUGUAUUACAUUUUAGAUUGCAAAUCUAAGGAAGCAGAUUAGUUGUCUGCCGGGGCUU
This 67-nucleotide transfer RNA is filed under the name Mastacembelus armatus (zig-zag eel). Its description in RNAcentral is "tRNA-Cys". Lineage: Eukaryota; Metazoa; Chordata; Actinopteri; Synbranchiformes; Mastacembelidae. The record is from RNAcentral.